CAGUAGCCGCGGUAAUACGAAGGGGGCUAGCGUUGUUCGGAUUUACUGGGCGUAAAGGGCGCGUAGGCGGGCUGAUCAGUCAGGGGUGAAAUCCCAAGGCUCAACCUUGGAACUGCCUUUGAUACUGUCGGUCUUGAGUUCGAGAGAGGUAAGUGGAACUGCGAGUGUAGAGGUGAAAUUCGUAGAUAUUCGCAAGAACACCAGUGGCGAAGGCGGCUUACUGGCUCGAAACUGACGCUGAGGCGCGAAAGCGUGGGGAGCAAACAGGAUUAGAUACCCCAGUAGUCCCUGUCUCUUAUAC
RNAcentral lists this ribosomal RNA (301 nucleotides) under uncultured bacterium. RNAcentral's name for it is "partial 16S ribosomal RNA". It matches the Rfam family "Bacterial small subunit ribosomal RNA", at positions 509 to 807 of the family's 1533-position model. The record is from RNAcentral.